Molecule: ribosomal RNA, 253 nt
Filed under: uncultured bacterium
Lineage: Bacteria
Description: partial 16S ribosomal RNA
Rfam family: Bacterial small subunit ribosomal RNA
Source: RNAcentral
UACGAAGGGGGCAAGCGUUGUUCGGAAUUAUUGGGCGUAAAGGGAGCGUAGGCGGUUCGGCAAGUCUUUAGUGAAAUCUCUGGGCUCAACUCAGAGUCUGCUGGAGAAACUGCCGGGCUGGAGUAUGGGAGAGGUGAGUGGAAUUCCCGGUGUAGCGGUGAAAUGCGUAGAUAACGGGAGGAACACCUGUGGCGAAAGCGGCUCACUGGACCAUUACUGACGCUGAUGCUCGAAAGCUAGGGGAGCAAACAGG